UGGUAGCCGAAGUGGUUAAAGCGUCCGCCUAGGAUUCGGAAGUCGCGGGUUCGAACCUCGGCUGAUUAA
Molecule: non-coding RNA, 69 nt
Organism: Potamilus streckersoni
Lineage: Eukaryota; Metazoa; Mollusca; Bivalvia; Unionida; Unionidae
Source: the annotation of a GenBank genome assembly